RNAcentral lists this long non-coding RNA (450 nucleotides) under Citrus maxima (pomelo). RNAcentral's name for it is "long non-coding RNA (CMAX_LNC002959)". Lineage: Eukaryota; Viridiplantae; Streptophyta; Magnoliopsida; Sapindales; Rutaceae. The record is from RNAcentral.
UGUUUGGAAGUGUUGCGGUAUUGAAAUAUGUUAUUGAAACAGGCAAAGUUGAUGUGAAUAGGGCCUGUGGAUCUGAUGGUUUCACUGCCCUUCACUGUGCUGUUGCUGGUGGUGCCAAAUCUUCCUUUGAGGUGGUCAAACUCUUACUCAGUGCAUCUGCUGAUGUUAACUGUGUUGAUGCGUAUGGGAAUAAGCCAGUCGAUCUCAUUCCAGUUGCUAUGAAAUCACCACUCCAUUCAAGAAAAAGGGCAAUAGAGUUAUUGUUGAAAGGCGAUCAUACUAUUUUUGAAGAGGAAGAAUUGGUGAAUAUCCCUGUGCCUCAGUUAUCAAAAGAUGGAACUGAGAAGAAAGAGUACCCAAUUGAUGUAUCGUUGCCUGAUAUAAACAAUGGAGUUUAUGGAACUGAUGAUUUUAGAAUGUACGCUUUUAAGAUAAAGCCAUGCUCGAGGG